CUAUGGAGACAUUUAUAUUACUGACUAUUUAAUUCUAUUUAGUUUUCAGAGAUCGUCACACAUCUUUAAAU
Molecule: unclassified non-coding RNA, 71 nt
Filed under: Mycoplasma capricolum subsp. capripneumoniae
Lineage: Bacteria; Bacillati; Mycoplasmatota; Mollicutes; Mycoplasmatales; Mycoplasmataceae
Description: partial 16S-23S ribosomal RNA intergenic spacer
Source: RNAcentral